UCUGAGUGCCCCCCAAACCCAGCAGUCAU
This 29-nucleotide non-coding RNA is filed under the name Homo sapiens (human). Lineage: Eukaryota; Metazoa; Chordata; Mammalia; Primates; Hominidae. The record is from RNAcentral.